ACGUGCAUGCGAAGUAGAGGGUCUGCAUAUUCAGGCCUCUGUGAAGGUAUAUAUCAAAAAAUUUGAGAUUUGAUCUCUGGUUCUGUUGCGAUUCAAGUAAGAAUUUGAUCAUUAAAUAAGUAGAAUAUUAAAAAAAAAUUUAGAUGCAACCUGGGCAUUCUAGAGGAAAACUAUUCUCUUUUUUUCAACUGAUGUUCCUCCACCACCUCGUAGAUUUGCAAGAUCUCUCAACCUUCUGAAAGGUACAUGGGUAUGCUUAUCGAGAAAGUAAAGAAAAUAUUCCUUAUGAGAGAUAAGGGUCAUGGUGAUGAUCCUAAUAUAUUU
Molecule: long non-coding RNA, 324 nt
Filed under: Elaeis guineensis (African oil palm)
Lineage: Eukaryota; Viridiplantae; Streptophyta; Magnoliopsida; Arecales; Arecaceae
Description: long non-coding RNA (EGUI_LNC069919)
Source: RNAcentral